CCACCCAAUACCUCUAGCUGAGUCAGAUGGAGGCACUGGUGGUGAAGGAACUGUAGGUGGUGCUGGAGCUACUUUACUUGUUGCAGAUCGACCACCAACUGCACAAACAAAUAUCUCCAUUAGUUAGAAUUUCAGAGUCACCAAAAACAGGAUUUUCCACCUUAUCUGCUGAUCCAGGUGGCAACUUCUUAUGCUGUAUUUCACUGGCUGCGUACCCAGCAGCCUUUGUAGCAGCUUUCCGACGUUUACUGUUUGUGGAUGAGAUAAAAUAUCCCAUUUUUAUUACUGACUCAAACUGAACCAGAGAAUUGGUCUGUACGUAAAAUCUCAGGCCUUGUGGCUGGCAGAUUUAUCAACAUCCUCCCAAUGGCCUGUACUUGAGAGCAAUUAGCUUUUCUCUUCUCCGAGAUGGAGGCCUGGAUUGUCUACUCAGCAUGUCACAGCUGAUAGUGAGCUCAAGGAUGUUAUCAACAACUGGUUGAAGCACAAGGUGGCAUCAUUCUUUGGUGAAGGAGUAAAGAAGAUGGUAUCAUGGUUUGAUAAAUGUUUCAAUUUUGAUAGUGACUCCAUCAAAAAGUAAUGACAACAUGUUGGUACAGACUUUAUAUAAACUAAAAUUUACCUAUUUUUCCU
This is a long non-coding RNA of Schistocerca cancellata (South American locust), 633 nucleotides long. RefSeq lists it as uncharacterized. The record is from RefSeq and is a predicted model, not a curated record. The transcript is spliced from 3 exons. NCBI's taxonomy places the organism in Eukaryota, Metazoa, Arthropoda, Insecta, Orthoptera, Acrididae.